GUGAACGCCUCCCCACGGCACCCCCUCCCUGCAAGCCCCCGCCUGUUUACUGGAAGACUCGACCCUGUGUUCUACAUUCUGAGCACUGAGAGGUUUCAUCACUGGCUCAAGGCAAGACAGAGAAGCUGGGUGUCGAGUCCAGUAAAGCACACGUGUGGUUUGGGCCAGCAAGUAGUCCGUUUCCAACCUCUGCUAAAGGAAGUGACAGUCUACUGAGGGGAGCAAGACAAGUAAAUAUGCCGUUACCACAGAGGCGAUAAGGGUGGUGACCAAGGUGUCUGGCACUGUUGUUAACAACCGUACGGGCAUCACCUCACCUAACCAGCACAAUAACCCUAUAAAUCGGGUACCUUUGUUCCUCUCAUGUCUCAGAAGAGACUGAGGCACAGAGAGAGUGAAGUAACUUGCCGCAGGGCACACCAUCAACACGUGCCAUGUGAUCCCCCAUGCAGGCUGUGAAGCCAGACUCCAGAAGAUUCCGUGGAAUAGCAGGACAUGUCCAAAGACGGCUGGGCACGUUAAUAGACCUGAGGUGGGCCACUGCAGCUCCAGCUUGAGAUGUGUUUAUAACGCAAGACAAGGAAGUGCAUUGCGGGCCAGGACCCAGGAGGCCGCGGGGGUAAAACUCACCCCUGCCCAGGAGCCUGGACUCUUUCUUGAAGACUAGAGCGAAAUGCGAGAAGAUUUAAAGAUCAGCACAACACCCCCCCCCCAGUUCCCUCCCUCUGUUUUAUGGAAGAGAAAACUGAGGCCUAGAGCACUUCCCUCACUUACCUGAGCCCCCCACACCACCACGUCCCAGCUCUGGGGCCAAAGCCGGGCUCCCAACUCAGACGGGACAGGGCCCCGCCUUAGGGAGUGCUGAGUGGGAAAGGAGAGGGCCCAGAACCGUGGGUUUCAAAACUUUACACCGAAGAUUAAAGAGUUAUCUGAACAAGAGAAGUUAAUCUGCUCGGGUUCUGUUCCCUCGCACGCCCUGGGUGGACCCGAGUUGUUCUUUUGGCCUCACCCUCCCCACCCACCGGCCUCUUGUGAAGGGAGAGCCUUUACAAGAAGAUGACUCUUCCUUAGAAAUCCUGGGUCUGGGCUUCCUCCGGGCCCAGCAACUAAAGAAGGGCGGCGGAUCAGAUGGGCUGAAGCCAGCCCUUUGAAACCACCCCUGGGUGGUAAGUAAAAUCCCUGGAAACCCAAGCAGCCUGAUCUUUGAGAGGCCUGCCAGGGUGUAGCUGGGCAGGCGGGCAGAAGACUGACGGCCCUUCAGAGAUGAUUCCUAUCUCUGCUCCCUGGGUUCAUGCCCGCCGCUGAUAGAUUGAUUCAUGUGCAACUGGGAGGGCAAUCCAGCCCAGACGUUUAGAGUGUGUCUUGUCCCAGCUUGAUUGCAGGGCGGAGCGGUCUCACUGGGCUCAGAGCUCAGGGCUGGUGCAUCUGCGCUAAUUUGCAUGGACAGAUUCAAAGCACCUGGUUGGCUCAGGGGGGUAGGGAGAUCCUCCGUGUGUAUUACAGAGUGCCCCGCGUGACUCACAGUGGGCACUGUUCUAGAACCCAUGCGCAGGCGGUAUCCCUGGUCUCAUGGGACUCGUAUUCUAGUAGAGGGGACAAAAACAAUGAAUGGACGAGUAAUAAAACAAAUAAUUUCAGAGACAGUGGAGUAGGUGACUCUAGACCAGAAUUUCGCAACGUUGGCACUAUUGCCAUUUUAGGCUGGAUAAUUCUUGGUUGUGAGGGGCUGUCCUACGCAUUGUAGGACACUUAGCAUCUCUGGCCUCUGCCCGUUGGACGCGAGCCACAACACCCUGAGAUAUGACACCUAAAGAUCUCUCCAGACAUUGCCAAAUAUCCCCUGGGGGUAACGUCGCCCCUGCCUGAUUGACAACCCCUGCUCUAGACCAGCACUCUUCAGUGAAAAUAUAAUGCAGGCCACAUGCACAAUUUAAAAUUUUCUAGUACUCACAUGAAAAAAGUAAAAAAGACACAGGUGAAAUAAAUUUUACAAUAUAUUUAAUUGUACCCGGUACAUCUAAAAUAUUAUCAUUUUAUUGUAAUUAAUAUAAAAAGGUUUUAGAGAGAUAUUUUACAUCACUUUUUUUCUCACUAAAUCUUCGAAAUCUGGUGUA
Ailuropoda melanoleuca (giant panda) is the source of this 2114-nucleotide long non-coding RNA. RefSeq lists it as uncharacterized. The transcript is spliced from 3 exons. The record is from RefSeq and is a predicted model, not a curated record. NCBI's taxonomy places the organism in Eukaryota, Metazoa, Chordata, Mammalia, Carnivora, Ursidae.